Molecule: ribosomal RNA, 429 nt
Filed under: Chloroflexota bacterium
Lineage: Bacteria; Bacillati; Chloroflexota
Description: Chloroflexi bacterium partial 16S ribosomal RNA
Rfam family: Bacterial small subunit ribosomal RNA
Source: RNAcentral
UGGGGAAUAUUGCACAAUGGGCGCAAGCCUGAUGCAGCCAUGCCGCGUGUGUGAAGAAGGCCUUCGGGUUGUAAAGCACUUUCAGCGGGGAGGAAGGCGGUGAGGUUAAUAACCUCAUCGAUUGACGUUACCCGCAGAAGAAGCACCGGCUAACUCCGUGCCAGCAGCCGCGGUAAUACGGAGGGUGCAAGCGUUAAUCGGAAUUACUGGGCGUAAAGCGCACGCAGGCGGUCUGUCAAGUCGGAUGUGAAAUCCCCGGGCUCAACCUGGGAACUGCAUUCGAAACUGGCAGGCUAGAGUCUUGUAGAGGGGGGUAGAAUUCCAGGUGUAGCGGUGAAAUGCGGAGAGAUCUGGAGGAAUACCGGUGGCGAAGGCGGCCCCCUGGACAAAGACUGACGCUCAGGUGCGAAAGCGUGGGGAGCAAACAGG